CAUGCAAGCUUAAACUUUUUAAAGCAUCACGGYGAGUAAACUAUACAAACUUUUACAAAAUUACAAGUAUAUUCAGAAGCAUCAGGACUCCUCUCGGGACCAAAAACGCUUASACACCCACAUCUGCAGUACCCAACAUUAUACCAUAAGCGACAGCUUGAUAUAGAGAUAGAACAGAGAACUGGUUAAUUAUGUGCCAGCCACCGCGGUURUACAUAAAGUUCCAGCCAAGAAACCCCGGUGAAAGUCGUGGUAAACAACACCCCUAACUGGAAUAAAAAUCAACUAAAGCAGUAAUAAGCUAACAGAUCUUUAAUACCCCAGCUAACCCCCAUUUCAGAUUAUGCGACCCCACGAAAGCUCAACCAUAAACUGGGAUUAGAUACCCCACUAUACGAGCCCUAAAAUAACAUUACACCUGAGAACUACGAACGAAAGUUUAAAACUCAAAGGACUUGGCGGUCUUAUAAACCUUCUGGAGGAGCUUGCUAUAUAACCGAUAAUCCACGUAACACCUUACCAACUUUAGAACUUCCAGCCUGUAUACCAUGGUCGUCAGUCUACUCCCCAA
RNAcentral lists this ribosomal RNA (571 nucleotides) under Stichaster australis. RNAcentral describes it as "partial 12S ribosomal RNA". It matches the Rfam family "Bacterial small subunit ribosomal RNA", at positions 54 to 1020 of the family's 1533-position model. The record is from RNAcentral. Lineage: Eukaryota; Metazoa; Echinodermata; Asteroidea; Forcipulatida; Asteriidae.